GAAAUGCGAUAAGUAAUGUGAAUUGCAGAAUUCAGUGAAUCAUCGAAUCUUUGAACGCACAUUGCGCCCGCCAGUAUUCUGGCGGGCAUGCCUGUUCGAGCGUCAUUUCAACCAUCAAGCCCCCGGCUUGUGUUGGGGACCUGCGGCUGCCCGCAGGCCCUGAAAAACAGUGGCGGGCUCGCUGUCACACCGAGCGUAGUAGCAUACAUUCUCGCUCAGGGCGUGCUGCGGGUUCCGGCCGUUAAACGAUCUUCAUAACCCAAGGUUGACCUCGGAUCAGGUAGGAAGACCCGCUGAACUUAAGC
This 305-nucleotide unclassified non-coding RNA is filed under the name plant metagenome. RNAcentral's name for it is "partial contains 5.8S ribosomal RNA, internal transcribed spacer 2, and large subunit ribosomal RNA". The stretch from base 1 to 105 matches the Rfam family "5.8S ribosomal RNA", at positions 50 to 154 of the family's 154-position model. The record is from RNAcentral.